RNAcentral lists this ribosomal RNA (932 nucleotides) under Cytospora pruinosa. Its description in RNAcentral is "eukaryotic LSU rRNA". It matches the Rfam family "Eukaryotic large subunit ribosomal RNA", at positions 1 to 961 of the family's 3401-position model. Lineage: Eukaryota; Fungi; Ascomycota; Sordariomycetes; Diaporthales; Cytosporaceae. The record is from RNAcentral.
UUUGACCUCGGAUCAUGUAGGAAUACCCGCUGAACUUAAGCAUAUCAAUAAGCGGAGGAAAAGAAACCAACAGGGAUUGCCCCAGUAACGGCGAGUGAAGCGGCAACAGCUCAAAUUUGAAAGCUGGCCUCGGCCCGCAUUGUAAUUUGCAGAGGAUGCUUCUGGCAAGGUGCCUUCCGAGUUCCCUGGAACGGGACGCCAUAGAGGGUGAGAGCCCCGUAUGGAUGGACACCGAGCCUGUGUGAAGCUCCUUCAACGAGUCGAGUAGUUUGGGAAUGCUGCUCAAAAUGGGAGGUAAAUCUCUUCUAAAGCUAAAUACCGGCCAGAGACCGAUAGCGCACAAGUAGAGUGAUCGAAAGAUGAAAAGCACCUUGAAAAGGGGGUUAAACAGUACGUGAAAUUGUUGAAAGGGAAGCGCUUGUGACCAGACUUGCGCCGGGCGGCUCAUCAGGGGUUCUCCCCUGUGCACUCCGCCCGGCUCAGGCCAGCAUCGGUUCUCGUGGGGGGAUAAGAACGGCGGGAACGUGGCCCCCCUCCGGGGGGGUGUUAUAGCCCGCCGUACGAUACCCUCGUGGGGACCGAGGUUCGCGCUCCGCAAGGAUGCUGGCGUAAUGGUCAUCAGCGACCCGUCUUGAAACACGGACCAAGGAGUCGUCCAUUAGAGCGAGCGUUUGGGUGUAAAACCCGCACGCGUAAUGAAAGUGAACGCAGGUGAGAGCUUCGGCGCAUCAUCGACCGAUCCUGAUGUCUUCGGAUGGAUUUGAGUAAGAGUUUUAACGGACGGACCCGAAAGACAGUGAACUAUGCUUGUAUAGGGUGAAGCCAGAGGAAACUCUGGUGGAGGCUCGCAGCGGUUCUGACGUGCAAAUCGAUCGUCAAAUAUGAGCAUGGGGGCGAAAGACUAAUCGAACUGUCUAGUAGCUGGUUACCGC